AUUGAACGCUGGCGGCAUGCCUAACACAUGCAAGUCGAACGGCAGCACAGUAGAGCUUGCUCUAUGGGUGGCGAGUGGCGGACGGGUGAGUAAUGCAUCGGGACCUGCCCAGACGUGGGGGAUAACGUAGGGAAACUUACGCUAAUACCGCAUACGUCCUACGGGAGAAAGCGGGGGAUCGAAAGACCUCGCGCGGUUGGAUGGACCGAUGUUCGAUUAGCUAGUUGGUGAGGUAAUGGCUCACCAAGGCGACGAUCGAUAGCUGGUCUGAGAGGAUGAUCAGCCACACUGGGACUGAGACACGGCCCAGACUCCUACGGGAGGCAGCAGUGGGGAAUAUUGGACAAUGGGCGCAAGCCUGAUCCAGCAAUGCCGCGUGUGUGAAGAAGGCCUUCGGGUUGUAAAGCACUUUUAUCAGGAGCGAAAUACCACGGGUUAAUACCCUAUGGGGCUGACGG
This 458-nucleotide ribosomal RNA is filed under the name Lysobacteraceae bacterium Ellin7203. RNAcentral describes it as "bacterial SSU rRNA". It matches the Rfam family "Bacterial small subunit ribosomal RNA", at positions 30 to 475 of the family's 1533-position model. The record is from RNAcentral. Lineage: Bacteria; Pseudomonadati; Pseudomonadota; Gammaproteobacteria; Lysobacterales; Lysobacteraceae.